Long non-coding RNA from Lagopus leucura (white-tailed ptarmigan), 191 nucleotides. RefSeq lists it as uncharacterized. The transcript has 3 exons. NCBI's taxonomy places the organism in Eukaryota, Metazoa, Chordata, Aves, Galliformes, Phasianidae. The record is from RefSeq and is a predicted model, not a curated record.
CCUGCAAGACCAGGAGGGUGAUCGAGAGCAGGCGUACUGCGAGCUGGAGCACGUCCUGGGGGAAGAGGACAGCCGCCCGCCGUGCGGAGUGGUGAACCGGCUGCUGGCUGAGGUGUCCCAGGACCUGACAGCAGCCCAGGGCGUGACGGACAGCGUGAGGACGGCUGCCAGCAAUGUCCUGGUGGCUCUGG